GUAGAAAUUAAAUCUUUUGGAAUAGUAUGGAUACACCUGCAUGCUCGGAUGUGGCGGAAAGAUAAAAUAGAAUUCUGAUCCUUUAAAAUAGAACUUGGUAAUUUGAUACUUCCACCUUUUGUUACGGAUUGUUGGAAAUUGUUAGAGAACUUUGAUGCGGGGUUUCUUUUCAAACACCAGCUAGUUACAUUGCUCUUUAUUUAAAAAUCCCUAUGUAGGACAAAACAAGUUUUAAUUUUUUGACUUAAAUUGAUUUCGAUAAAUAUAUCACAUCUUGUCCUUUGG
RNAcentral lists this long non-coding RNA (285 nucleotides) under Ananas comosus (pineapple). RNAcentral describes it as "long non-coding RNA (ACOM_LNC016102)". Lineage: Eukaryota; Viridiplantae; Streptophyta; Magnoliopsida; Poales; Bromeliaceae. The record is from RNAcentral.